RNAcentral lists this unclassified non-coding RNA (335 nucleotides) under soil metagenome. RNAcentral describes it as "partial contains 5.8S ribosomal RNA, internal transcribed spacer 2, and large subunit ribosomal RNA". The stretch from base 1 to 120 matches the Rfam family "5.8S ribosomal RNA", at positions 35 to 154 of the family's 154-position model. The record is from RNAcentral.
GAUGAAGAACGCAGCGAAAUGCGAUAAGUAGUGUGAAUUGCAGAAUUCAGUGAAUCAUCGAAUCUUUGAACGCACAUUGCGCCCGCCAGUAUUCUGGCGGGCAUGCCUGUUCGAGCGUCAUUUCAACCAUCAAGCCCCCGGCUUGUGUUGGGGACCUGCGGCUGCCGCAGGCCCUGAAAACCAGUGGCGGGCUCGCUAGUCACUCCGAGCGUAGUAAUACAUCUCGCUCAGGGCGUGCUGCGGGUUCCGGCCGUUAAAAAGCCUUAUUUACCCAAGGUUGACCUCGGAUCAGGUAGGAAUACCCGCUGAACUUAAGCAUAUCAAUAAGCGGAGGA